This 353-nucleotide ribosomal RNA is filed under the name Cafius seminitens. RNAcentral describes it as "partial 12S ribosomal RNA". The record is from RNAcentral. Lineage: Eukaryota; Metazoa; Arthropoda; Insecta; Coleoptera; Staphylinidae.
UUAAAAUGUAAAUUUUAAAGCUAAAUUAUUAGUAGAUAUGUUCUUUAAAGUUAAAGGAUUUGGCGGUAUCCUAGUCUAUUUAGAGGAACCUGUUCUGUAAUUGAUAGUCCACGAUUUAUUGUACUUGUUCUAUUAGUUUAUAUAUCGUCGUAGUUUGAAUAUUUUAAAAGAAUAUAAAUAUUCAGGAUUCUUAAUAAGGAAGGAAAUCAGAUCAAGGUGUAGCUUAUGGGCAAGAAGAAAUGGGUUACAAUAAAUUUAUUUAUAUGGUAUAAAUAUUUGAAAAAUAGUUAUUAAAGUGGAUUUAAAAGUAAUAUAGAUAAAUUUAUCUAUAUGAUUUUAGCUCUAGGAUAUGU